UAAAGUUAGAGGUGGGGAAUGGGCAGGAAAGCUGAAUGCCUGGUAUCAUCUUAGGAAGAACUUUCUGUGUGAACAUCCUGUGCAGUAAACAAAAGUAACCGACUGUCACUGAAAGUAGGGAAAGUCAGGAAAGCUACCUCUAGAUGAGAAUGGAGACUGCCUGCUGUCUGGUUUCAUUAGAUUCUCCUCUAUACUUCGUUGUUUUUUUUUUUUUAAUGUCUUUAUGGUCAUUGCUUUGAUAAACACAAAUCCAUGUUUUCAGUCUUAUACCUGGAUGUUGGGAUCCAGCAUCUUUGUGUGUGUUUUAAACUAAAAAACUGAAUGGCUGCUUUGAGAUGUAUAGUUCAGGGCUGAGAUGUUACCUUGGUGGUAGACUACUUGGUUGGUGAACUGAGACAGAUGGAUGGGCAGAGAGACAGAACAGUAUCUUCCAGUGGGAUAUACUGAAAGAUUUAUAAGCUUUUAAGAAAAAAAAAUUUCAAACCUAGAUGGCGAACUUCCACCACAAAUGGAGGAAUUUUGACUGUAUCCAUUGACAAUCCUGGAGCUGUACAGUGUCCGGUAACUCAGAAACCACGAUUAACUCGUACUGCUGUGCCCUCAUUCUUAACAAA
This 614-nucleotide long non-coding RNA is filed under the name Rattus norvegicus (Norway rat). Its description in RNAcentral is "long non-coding RNA NONRATT007068". The record is from RNAcentral. Lineage: Eukaryota; Metazoa; Chordata; Mammalia; Rodentia; Muridae.